RNAcentral lists this ribosomal RNA (253 nucleotides) under uncultured bacterium. Its description in RNAcentral is "partial 16S ribosomal RNA". It matches the Rfam family "Bacterial small subunit ribosomal RNA", at positions 524 to 776 of the family's 1533-position model. The record is from RNAcentral.
UACGUAGGGGGCAAGCGUUGUCCGGAUUUAUUGGGCGUAAAGAGCGUGUAGGCGGCUUUACAGGUCCGUUGUGAAAACUCGAGGCUCAACCUCGAGACGCCGGUGGAAACCGUAAGGCUAGAGUCCGGAAGAGGAGAGUGGAAUUCCUGGUGUAGCGGUGAAAUGCGCAGAUAUCAGGAUGAACACCCGUGGCGAAAGCGGCUCUCUGGGACGGUACUGACGCUGAGACGCGAAAGCGUGGGGAGCAAACAGG